This 518-nucleotide ribosomal RNA is filed under the name uncultured Actinomycetes bacterium. Its description in RNAcentral is "bacterial SSU rRNA". It matches the Rfam family "Bacterial small subunit ribosomal RNA", at positions 366 to 896 of the family's 1533-position model. The record is from RNAcentral. Lineage: Bacteria; Bacillati; Actinomycetota; Actinomycetes.
GCGCAAUGGGCGAAAGCCUGACGCAGCAACGCCGCGUGGGGGAUGAAGGCCUUCGGGUUGUAAACCCCUUUCAGGAGGGAAGAAAUUGACGGUACCUCCAAAAGAAGGACCGGCCAACUACGUGCCAGCAGCCGCGGUAAUACGUAGGGUCCGAGCGUUAUCCGGAAUCAUUGGGCGUAAAGAGCUCGUAGGCGGUUCAGCAAGUCGGCUGUGAAAGUCCGGGGCUCAACCCCGGAAUUGCAGUCGAUACUGCUGUGACUCGAGUCCGGUAGAGGAGAACGGAAUUCCCGGUGUAGCGGUGAAAUGCGCAGAUAUCGGGAGGAACACCAGUAGCGAAGGCGGUUCUCUGGGCCGGCACUGACGCUGAGGAGCGAAAGCGUGGGGAGCAAACAGGAUUAGAUACCCUGGUAGUCCACGCCGUAAACUUUGGAUACUAGGUGUGGCGGUCUAUACCAACGACUGCUGUGCCGAAGCUAACGCAUUAAGUAUCCCGCCUGGGGAGUACGGCCGCAAGGCUA